GACACCAUGGCUCAGUGGUUAGAGCAUUGGACUUUUAAUCAACAAGUCGCGGGUUCAAGCCUCGGCUGGGGCA
Molecule: transfer RNA, 73 nt
Filed under: Schistocephalus solidus
Lineage: Eukaryota; Metazoa; Platyhelminthes; Cestoda; Diphyllobothriidea; Diphyllobothriidae
Rfam family: tRNA
About the family: Transfer RNA (tRNA) molecules are approximately 80 nucleotides in length. Their secondary structure includes four short double-helical elements and three loops (D, anti-codon, and T loops).
Source: Rfam by way of RNAcentral